Long non-coding RNA from Gymnogyps californianus (California condor), 667 nucleotides. RefSeq lists it as uncharacterized. The record is from RefSeq and is a predicted model, not a curated record. Lineage: Eukaryota; Metazoa; Chordata; Aves; Accipitriformes; Cathartidae. The transcript has 3 exons.
GAGAUACAGUUAAUGGAGUGAAAUCUGCUCAUCCCUGUCAGGAAAGGAGGGGUGACUAUAAACUGCGCUGUAACUGCAGUGAACAAGACGGGUGGCAUCAGGAAUACCACCACUCACCAGACUCUGGCAGGCGGAGGCCUCCUCCAUAUCCCACAGGCUAAAAAGAUCCGAAGGAAUGAAGAGGGUCUGGUAACUGCUGAUGGUUUGGAUGCAUAUGGUAUUGCCAGAUCUCUGGCCUCUUUCCAGCUUUCCUGGUUCCUCAAAAUUACUUAUAAUAUUCCCAUUCAGACCUGUGCAACUGGUUGUCUUGAAUGAUUGCAGACUCACAAAAGAAGGUUACGGGAUGUGAGUGAACUUGAAUAUAAGGAUCUUCCAUGAUAAACUCACGAGUAUUUCUAUAUAUUGAGGUAAAGGAGUUAACUCCUUGGUAGCUGUAGUAAACUCUCACCCUAUACAGGACUUUCUAUGUGUCUUGCUAAAACCUCCCUGAAGCUGCUGUAUUGUGUUCUGUUGGUUUUUUUUUUUUUUAAGUCUUGUCGAUACUGCAGGUGGGUGGGAGAGUAUUCCUAGUGCUGGAUAUGGCUCUUUCCUCUUUCUCCUAGCACAGAUAGAAAUCAGUGAAUCCUUAAAUUGGGUUGAGAAAUACAAUUUAUGAAUGCGGUGAGCA